AACGAACGCUGGCGGCAGGCCUAACACAUGCAAGUCGAGCGGGGACUUCGGUCCUAGCGGCGGACGGGUGAGUAACGCGUGGGAACGUGCCCUUUGCUUCGGAAUAGCCCCUGGAAACGGGGAGUAAUACCGGAUGUGCUCGAGAGAGGAAAGAAUUUCGGCAAAGGAUCGGCCCGCGUUGGAUUAGGUAGUUGGUGGGGUAAUGGCCUACCAAGCCGACGAUCCAUAGCUGGUUUGAGAGGAUGAUCAGCCACACUGGGACUGAGACACGGCCCAGACUCCUACGGGAGGCAGCAGUGGGGAAGUAUUGGACAAUGGGCGAAAGCCUGAUCCAGCAAUGCCGCGUGAGUGAUGAAGGCCUUAGGGUUGUAAAGCUCUUUUACCCGGGAUGAUAAUGACAGUACCGGGA
Molecule: ribosomal RNA, 409 nt
Filed under: uncultured bacterium
Lineage: Bacteria
Description: bacterial SSU rRNA
Rfam family: Bacterial small subunit ribosomal RNA
Source: RNAcentral